Molecule: non-coding RNA, 204 nt
Organism: Oryza barthii
Lineage: Eukaryota; Viridiplantae; Streptophyta; Magnoliopsida; Poales; Poaceae
Source: Rfam
UUUACCGUUAACCCUAGGUUUCCGUGUCCAACUUUGACUGUCCGUCUUAUAUGAAAUUUUUUUAUAAUUCGUAUUUUCAUUGUUGUUAGAUGAUAAAACAUGAUUAAUAUUUUAUUGUGAUUUGUCUUUUUAAUUUUUUUUAUAAUUUUUUCAAAUAAGACGGACGGUCAAACGUUGGGCACAGAAACCAGAGUUUCUCUUUUU